This 254-nucleotide ribosomal RNA is filed under the name uncultured bacterium. RNAcentral describes it as "partial 16S ribosomal RNA". It matches the Rfam family "Bacterial small subunit ribosomal RNA", at positions 524 to 776 of the family's 1533-position model. The record is from RNAcentral.
UACGGGGGGAGCAAGCGUUGUUCGGAUUUACUGGGCGUAAAGGGCGGGUAGGCGGCCACCGCAAGUCAGUUGUGAAAUCUCCGGGCUUAACCCGGAAAGGUCAACUGAUACUGCGGGGCUAGAGUGCAGAAGGGGCAACUGGAAUUCUCGGUGUAGCGGUGAAAUGCGUAGAUAUCGAGAGGAACACCUGCGGCGAAGGCGGGUUGCUGGGCUGACACUGACGCUGAACUGCGAAAGCUAGGGGAGCGAACAGG